This 559-nucleotide ribosomal RNA is filed under the name uncultured Nitrosopumilales archaeon. RNAcentral's name for it is "bacterial SSU rRNA". It matches the Rfam family "Archaeal small subunit ribosomal RNA", at positions 319 to 879 of the family's 1478-position model. The record is from RNAcentral. Lineage: Archaea; Thermoproteati; Nitrososphaerota; Nitrososphaeria; Nitrosopumilales.
GGCCCUAUGGGGCGCAGCAGGCGAGAAAACUUUGCAAUGUGCGAAAGCACGACAAGGUUAAUCCGAGUGGUUCCUGCUAAAGGAACCUUUUGUCAGUCGUAAAACCACUAAUGAAUAAGGGGUGGGCAAGUUCUGGUGUCAGCCGCCGCGGUAAAACCAGCACCUCAAGUGGUCAGGAUGAUUAUUGGGCCUAAAGCAUCCGUAGCCGGGUGCAUCAGUUUUCGGUUAAAUCCACACGCUCAACGUAUGGGCUGCCGGGGAUACUAUGCACCUAGGGAGUGGGAGAGGUAGACGGUACUCGGUAGGAAGGGGUAAAAUCCUUUGAUCUAUUGAUGACCACCUGUGGCGAAGGCGGUCUACCAGAACACGUUCGACGGUGAGGGAUGAAAGCUGGGGGAGCAAACCGGAUUAGAUACCCGGGUAGUCCCAGCUGUAAACUAUGCAAACUCAGUGAUGCAUUGGCAUGUAGCCAAUGCAGUGCCGCAGGGAAGCCGUUAAGUUUGCCGCCUGGGAAGUACGUACGCAAGUAUGAAACUUAAAGGAAUUGGCGGGGGAGCAC